UCCGGAAGUCAUCGAUGCCACGCUUCCAGGAAAAGCCUCUAAGCUUCAGAUCACAUGCGACCGUACCCCAAACCGACACAGGUGGUCAGGGUGAGAAUCCCAAGGCGCUUGAGAGAACUCGGGUGAAGGAACUAGGCAAAAUGGCACCGUAACUUCGGGAGAAGGUGCGCCGGCGUAGCGUGAAGAGACUCGCUCUCCUAGCGCGAACCGGUCGAAGAUACCAGGUGGCUGCAACUGUUUAUUAAAAACACAGCACUCUGCUAACGCGUAAGCGGACGUAUAGGGUGUGACGCCUGCCCGGUGCCGGAAGGUUAAUUGAUGGUGUUAGCGCAAGCGAAGCUCCUGAUCGAAGCCCCGGUAAACGGCGGCCGUAACUAUAACGGUCCUAAGGUAGCGAAAUUCCUUGUCGGGUAAGUUCCGACCUGCACGAAUGGCGUAAUGAUGGCCACGCUGUCUCCACCCGAGACUCAGUGAAAUUGAAAUCGCAGUGAAGAUGCUGUGUACCCGCGGCUAGACGGAAAGACCCCGUGAACCUUUACUAUAGCUUCACACUGGACGCUGAUGUUGCUUGUGUAGGAUAGCUGGGAGGCUUGGAAACCGUGACGCCAGUUGCGGUGGAGCCAACCUUGAAAUACCAGCCUGGCAUCAUUGGCGUUCUAACUUCGCACCGUGAUCCGGUGUAAGGACAGUGUGUGGUGGGUAGUUUGACUGGGGCGGUCUCCUCCGAAAGCGUAACGGAGGAGCACGAAGGUACCCUCAGCACGGUUGGAAAUCGUGCAUUGAGUGCAAGAGCAUAAGGGUGCUUAACUGCGAGACAGACACGUCGAGCAGGUACGAAAGUAGGUUCUAGUGAUCCGGUGGUUCUGUAUGGAAGGGCCAUCGCUCAACGGAUAAAAGGUACUCCGGGGAUAACAGGCUGAUACCGCCCAAGAGUUCACAUCGACGGCGGUGUUUGGCACCUCGAUGUCGGCUCAUCACAUCCUGGGGCUGAAGUCGGUCCCAAGGGUAUGGCUGUUCGCCAUUUAAAGUGGUACGCGAGCUGGGUUUAGAACGUCGUGAGACAGUUCGGUCCCUAUCUGCCGUGGGCGUUGGAGAUUUGAGAAGCGCUGCUCCUAGUACGAGAGGACCGGAGUGGACGCACCUCUGGUGUUCCGGUUGUCACGCCAGUGGCACUGCCGGGUAGCUAUGUGCGGACGGGAUAACCGCUGAAAGCAUCUAAGCGGGAAGCCCCCUUCAAGAUGAGAUCUCCCUGAGACUUCGAGUCUCCUAAAGGGUCCAGCAAGACGAGCUGGUUGAUAGGCACGGUGUGGAAGCGCUGCAAGGCGUUGAGCUAACGUGUACUAAUGCCCCGUGAGGCUUGACCAUAUAACCCCAAGGGGUCUGGG
RNAcentral lists this ribosomal RNA (1385 nucleotides) under Gammaproteobacteria bacterium MFB021. Its description in RNAcentral is "bacterial LSU rRNA". It matches the Rfam family "Bacterial large subunit ribosomal RNA", at positions 1583 to 2925 of the family's 2925-position model. Lineage: Bacteria; Pseudomonadati; Pseudomonadota; Gammaproteobacteria. The record is from RNAcentral.